RNAcentral lists this ribosomal RNA (572 nucleotides) under uncultured bacterium. Its description in RNAcentral is "partial 16S ribosomal RNA". It matches the Rfam family "Bacterial small subunit ribosomal RNA", at positions 355 to 914 of the family's 1533-position model. The record is from RNAcentral.
UGGGGAAUCUUCCGCAAUGGACGAAAGUCUGACGGAGCAACGCCGCGUGAGUGAAGAAGGUUUUCGGAUCGUAAAACUCUGUCUUUUGGGGCGAACGUGAGUAUGGUGAACAAUCAUAGUCAGUGACGGUACCAAAGGAGGAAGCCACGGCUAACUACGUGCCAGCAGCCGCGGUAAUACGUAGGUGGCAAGCGUUGUCCGGAAUUAUUGGGCGUAAAGAGCGCGUAGGCGGGAUAGUCAGUCUGUUGUAAAGUGCGGGGCUCAACCCCGUGAUGGCAAUGGAAACAGCUAUUCUUGAGUGCAGGAGAGGAAAGUGGAAUUCCCAGUGUAGCGGUGAAAUGCGUAGAUAUUGGGAGGAACACCAGUGGCGAAGGCGACUUUCUGGACUGUGUCUGACGCUGAGGCGCGAAAGCCAGGGGGAGCGAACGGGAUUAGAUACCCCCGGUAGUCCUGGCCGUAAACGAUGGGUACUAGGUGUGGGAGGUAUCGACCCCCUUUCCGUGCCGGAGUUAACGCAAUAAGUACCCCGCCUGGGGAGUACGGUCGCAAGACUGAAACUCAAAUGAAUUGAC